This 479-nucleotide ribosomal RNA is filed under the name Achromobacter sp. HE15C. Its description in RNAcentral is "bacterial SSU rRNA". It matches the Rfam family "Bacterial small subunit ribosomal RNA", at positions 36 to 514 of the family's 1533-position model. The record is from RNAcentral. Lineage: Bacteria; Pseudomonadati; Pseudomonadota; Betaproteobacteria; Burkholderiales; Alcaligenaceae.
CCUGCGGGAGCUUACCAUGCAGUCGAACGGCAGCACGGACUUCGGUCUGGUGGCGAGUGGCGAACGGGUGAGUAAUGUAUCGGAACGUGCCCAGUAGCGGGGGAUAACUACGCGAAAGCGUAGCUAAUACCGCAUACGCCCUACGGGGGAAAGCAGGGGAUCGCAAGACCUUGCACUAUUGGAGCGGCCGAUAUCGGAUUAGCUAGUUGGUGGGGUAACGGCUCACCAAGGCGACGAUCCGUAGCUGGUUUGAGAGGACGACCAGCCACACUGGGACUGAGACACGGCCCAGACUCCUACGGGAGGCAGCAGUGGGGAAUUUUGGACAAUGGGGGAAACCCUGAUCCAGCCAUCCCGCGUGUGCGAUGAAGGCCUUCGGGUUGUAAAGCACUUUUGGCAGGAAAGAAACGUCGCGGGUUAAUACCCCGCGAAACUGACGGUACCUGCAGAAUAAGCACCGGCUAACUACGUGCCAGACC